GUACACAGGUCUUUUGAAAUUAUACAAAUAUUGUUUCUCCUCUUUUAAUUUCAAAAGAUGUAAUGUACGUAAUAAUUAGGCGGGAUGACGUGACUGUGCACACACGCACGGGGCGCGUCUGGGUGCAGGGAUUCCUCGACAGCAAACUCGAGUGGAGUCCUCCCCCUCUUCCUUGUGGACUAUCUGCCCUCGGAACAUACCGGGGAGCGCCGGUGCUGGAGUUGAGCUGAAGGAGU
This is a non-coding RNA of Pelobates cultripes (western spadefoot toad), 236 nucleotides long. Lineage: Eukaryota; Metazoa; Chordata; Amphibia; Anura; Pelobatidae. The record is from the annotation of a GenBank genome assembly.